RNAcentral lists this ribosomal RNA (437 nucleotides) under uncultured beta proteobacterium. RNAcentral describes it as "bacterial SSU rRNA". It matches the Rfam family "Bacterial small subunit ribosomal RNA", at positions 189 to 617 of the family's 1533-position model. The record is from RNAcentral. Lineage: Bacteria; Pseudomonadati; Pseudomonadota; Betaproteobacteria.
GGAGACACCUAGGGAUCGCAAGACCUUGCGCUCUUUGAGCGGCCGCCUUCUGAUUAGCUAGUUGGUGAGGUAAAGGCUUACCAAGGCGACGAUCAGUAGCUGGUCUGAGAGGACGAUCCCCCACACCGGGACUGAGACAUUGUCCAGACUCCUACGGGAGGCAGCAGUGGGGAAUUUUGGACAAUGGGGGAAACCCUGAUCCAGCCAUGCCGCGUGAGUGAAGAAGGCCUUCGGGUUGUAAAGCUCUUUCAGCCGGAACGAAACAGUCACGGCUAAUACCCGUUACGACUGACGGUACCGGAAGAAGAAGCACCGGCUAACUACGUGCCAGCAGCCGCCGUAAUAUGUAGAGUGCAAGCGUUAAUCGGAAUUACUGUUUUUAAAGCGUGCGCAGGCGGUUUUGUAAGUCAGAUGUGAAAUCCCCGGGCUUAACCUGG